Molecule: long non-coding RNA, 716 nt
Filed under: Ananas comosus (pineapple)
Lineage: Eukaryota; Viridiplantae; Streptophyta; Magnoliopsida; Poales; Bromeliaceae
Description: long non-coding RNA (ACOM_LNC026311)
Source: RNAcentral
CGACUUAAAAAAAAAAAGGGUUAAUUUCAUACAUGUUCCUGCAAAUAUAAUGAAUAGCAAAUAUAUUUCUAUAAAGUUCAACUUUCAUAUGUUGUUCUUGUAAAAGUCCUGAAGUUUUCAAAUAUAUCCUUACCAUUAGAAUCCGUUAGAAAAAAUUAGUUAACCAUAGGUUAAAUAUUUAAUCCUAGUUAGUUUUUGAUAUUUUUACCCUCCAUAUUAUGCUAUGGCUUUUGGAAGUAUAUAUUUGUGAUGCCAAAAUUGAAAAUAUAAACAGUUCUUUAACGGUAACAAACCAGAGGGAUAUAUUUGAAAAAUUAAAACUUUUGUAGAAACAACAUAUGAAAGUUGAACUUUAUGGAGAUAUAUUUGUCAUUCAUUAUGUUUGCUGGGACAUGUAUGAAAUUGACCCCCAAAAAAAAUAUAGAAUACAAAUAAGAGAUGAAUAAUACUAAUAAAAUAUAAUAAUAUAUAUAUUUAAUAUAUAUAUAUAUAUAUAAAAUAUUAAUUAUAUUGAAAUAUUAUUAUAUUUUAAUAUGAAUUAAAGUAAAUAAAAUUUUCAUUCAUAAUUCAUAUAUUUUUGAAAAUAAAAUAUCUACCGUACAUAAUUUAUGUUGUCCAAAAAUUAUAUAUAAUUUCAUCAAAAAAUCAAAAAAAUUUUAUUCGUAUAUUAUAUAUGCAUAAUAAAAUAAAAUAAUAUAAUAUAUAAUUUUUUAAUA